RNAcentral lists this microRNA precursor (103 nucleotides) under Marmota monax (woodchuck). Lineage: Eukaryota; Metazoa; Chordata; Mammalia; Rodentia; Sciuridae. The record is from RNAcentral.
AGUGGCAUUACUGGGUGAUAUGGUAAGUUUAUGUUUUACUUUAAAAGAAACUGGAAAACUGUCUUCCACAGUGGAUAUACUAUAUUGUAUACCCACAAACAAU